ACGAAAGUUGUCAGUCUUCUCGUGUAACUCUUGGCAAGAUUUAAAGUUUGGUGUGUUUGCUGGCUGGUGUGGAUUCAUUUAAUCUGGCAUGGAGAUGUUUUUUUUCCUCAGUUUUUCUUCUCCAUUUUACCAUGAUUAUUUUGUCCAGGUUGGGUUGGGUGUAUUUGAUUUGGCUGUUUUAAAUUGGUUCCUGUUUAGGCUCUCUAGCAGCGGGUGUUUUGUGGUUUGAUUUGGUUUCCUCUGACAUGUUUUGUCCUGGCCACAUUUGCUCGGGAUUGUUGUGAUUAGUCUCAUGGACCAGCAUAUCAAGUUAGUUUGGACUAGUUUGAGUUAAAUUGAUUGUGUCUGUCAGUUCUCUUACAUUUUACCGCUUUCCUUUGCUGUGGGUUGUUUAAGUUGGUUUUAUUUCCUUCACUCUGGUUCACUUGUGGUUUGCCCUCUUUAGCUGGGAUUUCUUAGCUUGACUUGGAGCGGCUGGCUUGAUUUGCCUGGAUGACUCUGUUGGGUAUACAUUGGUCUGAACUGCUACAGAGCUGCAUUGCUCCAUGGAGGCUGAUGUAACACUGAGCCAAAGAGCUGCAACACUGCGUCUGACACUGCAGUGCUGCUCACAUGUAGAGAUGCUUUGAUACAAGGUAAAAACAGGCUCAUAUACUGUAUGUGCAUGGACACAGAUUCCUCUCAGAAAGCCGCAGAAGGGGAACUCUCUUUUUUUUGUUUUUUGCAGCGCUCAUCAAAGAGGCGUCACGUAUCAUAGGAAGUACUCUACAUUUUAAUGAGGAAUGUGAAUAAAAUUUUAAAAAGAAGGGCAGGGUCACAUGAUGUAAGCUUCUUUGUGAAGAAACAUGUCAUAGAGAAAAUGUAAAUAACCAACUGCCCUACAAACUCUGCUUUUAAGUGUGUGUGUGUGUGUGUGUGAAUGUGGGAUGUUUCUCAUACUGGAGCCCACAUAGAUAAUAAAAUAAGAUUUUAAAGCGACAUUAGACGAGAGGGAGCGCUGUUAUACUGAAUAUCAGUACAGCUGUGAUUCAGUCUUAGGCGCACACAGUCCUCCGCCUCGCAGCGGUGAGGCGUUUUAUGACAGUACUAUUCCAAGCAACACGUAAACACUUCCUGAACAUUAAUUUGCCAGCUACUUUGUGUAGGUCUGCAUGUUACCACAGUUUAGCAACAUAAGCAGUAGUGCAUCUCUUCAAGGGUGCAUGGAUAUUUUGAGGGACUGUUGCUCUAACCAAUACAAUAAUCCUAACCCUAUGACAAACCCUGCAACCUAUAAGUUAGCCUGCUAGGUAGAUAAGAUUGGUUCAUUUGACGGCAUAAUAUAAGGCAGUGUUGCAGGAUAUGAUGCAAACAGUGACUGUUUUCUUCAGAGGACAUCCCAUUGGUUAUACCAGCCGUCGUUCAUCAUUCCAGGACUUCAAAAUACUUGCCUGGAGCCCUCACACAAUGACAAUUAUGGGUUACUCGUAUCUAUGCAGCCACGGAAGCUGGAGGAGCAGCUCAGACAAAGAGGGCAAAUGGGCUGUUGGUGAGUCCAAAUCUGGACUGGCUACAAUUUGCCUACCAAUCAGUCAUCACUGCUAAGGUGGAAGCUGCAAGCAGCUGCAUGGACUGUCUCUGACUACCUCACCGACAGACCACAACGUCAGACUUCAGACACAACACUGACAGCUGUCACCACCAGGAGUUAUCUGAUGAUACUGAUGAUGUGUAUCAGAUCACCUUUAAAUCAGUGCCAGCAAGAUGAUGGAGAUGGUCGCUGACUUCAGGAGGAGGACACCUCAGACCAGACUUGGGAACAUGGUGGGAGCAUACAGAUGCCUGGGUGAUCAACUCAACAAUAAACUGGACUGGUUGGACAAAAGAGACUUCCUGUACAAGGAGGGUCAUAGUCGUCUCCACUUACUGAGGGAGACUGAGGUCCUUUUGGAAUCUGCAUUUUCCUAUGAAGUCAUCUGCUGGGGAGGGGGAAGCACGGAGGGAGACAGGAAAGGGCCAGCUCUGUCCUGGACUGCCCCCUAGUCUCCAUAGAGGAAAUGGGGGAGAGGGGGAUGUUAGCAAAGCUGACAUCCAUCAUGAACAACUCCUCUCGCCCCGUGCAUGAGACUGUGGUGGCUUUAAACAGACUGCUACUGCCACCAUGUAAGAAGGAGUGCUACCACAGGCAGGUCCACAGUUCAUCAUGUAAUCCUUUAAAACAUAUUUGACUUAUAGCAAGAGACGGCAGAAAAAUGAACACAGGGACACAUGACAAGAACUUGGAGUUUUUAUUUCAGCAUGUCUUCAAAAGAGGUAAAACUCUCAGAGAGUGUUGAAAUCUGUCUUCUGACGUUUGGCCAUGUCAUGGACCUUAUCUAAAAAGCAGAACUACUAUAAAAAUCUCUUAAUAGUUAACACUAUUCAAUGCCUUAACCCAUUACUACACUUCUCAUAUUUUUUUUCUUUACAUUUUUUCUUUAUUUUUUGCAUUACUGCCGGGGUUACAGUUUGAUGUCAGUUUAUCAUCUUGCUAAAUACAUUUCUUUUCUAUUCUGCAGUUAAAUGUAUACGUUGAUCUGAAUUAUGUUUUGGAUUGUUUCCUUAACCUGUUUCGUUCAGUCUCUUUUGGAUGGGAAGAAAACAGAAAUAAGAGUUCUGACAUAAAUAGACUUGAAGUUAUUUCCGCAUUUUCUUACAACUGAAAAAAGAGGGGAAGCUGGCAGAGUUAAAAACAACAACAACAUGGGAGUUUAAGUCUGAUAAAAAUAUAGAUAUUUGAAAGUAUAAGAUAAGAUAGGAUAAGAUAAAACAUGUUCUUCUAUAUAACUGGCAUAUCUUAUUUCAAUAUGCUAAAACCGGUUAUAGUCUGUCUGUAUUUAUUUUAGCUCAGCAAGGUAAUACUGUCAUGCAAAACACAAAGAGGUUUCAUCUCGUACAUUAUAUAUCUUUCAAUCUAACUGCUGCUGAUCUAACCAGAUGUCAAAUAAAUGUAGUGGAAUUAAAAGUCUCUAAAGUGGAGUAAAAGAUCAAAUACCUCGAAAUUGAAGCUACAGUACUUCACUAAAUAUACUUAGCUACAACAAAUAUGUGUUGAGCCGAUAUCAGCUGAUAAUACUGUCUGUCAAAACAUUAGUCAGACUCUGGUUCACACUCCAACAGGCAGAUUUCCAUCUGAAUCCUGUAUUUUGAGCCCUGUCUGUGAACCAAAAUCAAACAUCUAGCAGACAUCACGUCUGCUGUUCCAUAUUUGGUUGUAUCUGCUGCCAACACAUAGUAAACAGGGGACAUCUGAUACCUUUGUGAUGUUCGCAGCCGCGUGGAGCGUUGGCAGUAUUAGCUUACUAAUCUCUGCUGAGCCUACAUGUUUUGUUUACAGCUACCUUCUUAUGUAAAAACACAGAAUAUCCAGUAGAAGAUAUUAUCUGUUGUGUCAAGAUGGCUGAGCUGUUUUUCCACAGAAACUGUAGAUCAUGAGGCAGAGGGAAGUGAGUGUGCGUGCGUGGGAGAUUGUAAUCGUGAUCAACAGUACAUCAACUUUUACUGGACUUUUGUCGGUUAACAGUUUAUGUAGUACUGUACUGUACAUUUGAAUGUGUCAGCUUGCAUGCGUGGAUCUAAGUGAAAUAAACAUCUGUACUCCUUAACCAGAUCAAUGGUCACACACCAACAACUUUUUCACAGAUUUUAGUCAAACUGGAUCAUAUUUUAUGGAGAAAAUGUUUUCUGCCUUUCGUCUGAUGUCCUCUUAUCAACUCCCAGUCAUUGAUAGAGUUUCUAGUCAGUGAGGUCAGAGGACCAGGGGAGUGUUAGGUGUUUGUACUACAGGUGUUUUGGACCACCGGGAAGAGGAAUGCUUACAAAUGCUGACGUGGAGCAGAGCAAGUGUCGUGCCAGAACAGGAGCUGAGCAAGCAGCCAAUAUAAUUGGGGUAAGGGACGUGGAGGGAGUUAAAAAAGAGUGAAGGGGAUGUUGAUGGAAGAAGCUAAGAAGUGAAAGGAGGGAGUGACCGAGCAAGAAGCUGCUGGGCAAGAGUAAAUCUGACUUUUGGUUCUUGGCGAGAACUUUAUAUAUAAUAAGUAAUAUUAGCUGGCUGCUAUUUCUUGUGUUGUUACACUUACUUUGCAUUUGGCUGCUAGCAAAGUAAGUAAUAUAAUCAUAAGAAAUGUACAGUUAUCCAUAUUUAU
This is a long non-coding RNA of Larimichthys crocea (large yellow croaker), 4163 nucleotides long. RefSeq lists it as uncharacterized. Lineage: Eukaryota; Metazoa; Chordata; Actinopteri; Sciaenidae. The transcript has 3 exons. The record is from RefSeq and is a predicted model, not a curated record.